UUUUUUUUUUAUAGGUUCUGGAUGCAUUGCAAAAGAUAAAGGGGGAGGAAGAUUCGAGUUUGAGUUACCGAAGGUCGUGUAGAGAAGGAAUAUGUGGAUCAUGCUCAAUGAACAUAAAUGGUGUUAACACCGUAGCAUGUCUCAAGCCUAUAGAUACAGACACUAGCAAGCUAACUACCAUCACUCCUCUUCCUCACAUGUUUGUUAUCAAAGAUUUGGUGGUUGAUCUCUCUAAUUUCUACCACCAGUACAAGUAAUUUCCCUCUCCUUUUCUCAUUUCAUCAAGUUAUUUAAUUCCGAUUAUACGUCCAUAAGUAAUGUUCGAUGUAGACAUGCCAUGUUUGACAUUGAUGUUUAGAAAUAUCACCCUAUUGUUUAAGUUUACUCAAAAAGAUUCUGGUAGUCACUACUAUAGUAGUACUUAUUCUGUUUCAAUUUAUGUUGCACUAUUUGAUUAGGUACAUGACGUUCAAGAAAGUAACUAAGACUCUUGAAAUUUGUGGUCUAAAGCAAGCCUCAAGACAUUUUUAUGAAAGAUAAAAGAGGAAUUUUAAAGUUAAGUUGUUUCUAAUUAUGAAAAGUGUAAUAUUCUUUUUGGACAAUUUCGAAAGGAAAGUAUGCUACAAAAACCGGGACGGAUGGAGAAUAUUUGCAUGUACAAAUACUUGCAACAAUUUAUAGUCGAAUCUUAAUUAAUUAGUGUCAUUGACUAGAUCUGUUUCAAGUUCACUAUACCUAUAUUUUAGGUUUAAGUAUCUACAUACCCUUAAAGUUGUCCGCAAAAUUCACUUAGACACCUUAACAUAUCCCCUUUCCUAUUAGACACUCAAAUCUUAAAAAAUAAAUACCUAUCAAACAUUUUUUUAAGACCUGGUCAAAAGAGGAAGUGCGUGUAAUACACUAAAAUCACCUCUUGUCCACCAUUGUUAUUUUCUAAAUGAAGAUUUUAACAUAACUAAGUAUGAAUUUAUUUUCUUCUUUUUUCUGUUAAUGUUUUCUUUUUUGUUCCUAUUUCAAAAUCGAUAGUAUUUUUUUUUUCUCAAAAUAAAAUAAAAUUUGUUCAUUCUCUUUUUGUUUUGAUUUCAAAUUUACUUUCUGUUUCUAUUUUGUUACGAAGAAAGAAGGGGUGUGGAUCAAAGGCAGUGUGUGGGGCCUCCAUAUUUUUCGGAAUGGUGAUCUCCAUUUUUUCCGACAAAAAAACUUAGAUUAUGUUUUUCAUUUUUUCUAACAAAGGAAAUGAGGGUAGUUGACUCCAUUUUUUAUUAAAUUUAAGCAUAAGCUUAGAAGAAGUAAAUUUAUAAAAAAAAAUGUAAGGUGUUGCUAUGAAUAAUUGGUGGCAACAGGUCUGCAAUUUUGAAAGAGAAAGAAGAAAGAAAGAUUGUUAUUUUUUUAAAAAAAAUAAUGAGAAACAAAAAAGAAAAAACUAAAAAGGUGUUGAUUAAAUGGUUCACGCGCCUAACAAGGUGUGGGUUACACUUUUUGUGCCGCGUGUGCACAAAGUGUCUAAUUCAUAAUAGUCAAGGUGUUCAAUAUGUACAAGCCCCAGUUAAGGUGUUUAAGUGAAUUACGCGGACAACUUUAAGAGCUGUCGAUGACUUAAGCCUAUAUUUUAUAACCUUUCAUUUUCAAUAGAUGUGAAUCUGCAAUCUAGAGUAAUUAGCAGAGUAGGUCUAGAAUGGAUGAUCUUAUUAUGUCUACAAGUUCUAAAUGUUUUUGGUGUGUGCGUAUAUAGUUACACUGAAUCAAUGAAUUAAUAAUGAGUUCAUCAGUUGAGUUGAACUCUGUGAUAGAUUCGGCCUCACAUCGACAAUUAUAUAUACAUUGGAGCAUGGUGCAAAAAAUGAAUGUUGUGGGUGUUUGCAGGUCUAUAGAGCCAUGGUUGAAGACACGAAAACCGCCCCCAGAUGGGAGAGAAUACAGGCAAACACCAUUGGAUAGGAAGAAACUUGAUGGCUUAUAUGAAUGCAUAUUAUGUGCUUGUUGCAGCACUUCUUGUCCUUCUUACUGGUGGAAUCCCGAGGAGUUCCUUGGGCCUGCAGCCUUGCUCCAUGCCUAUCGAUGGAUCUCGGACAGGUUAAUUCUUCAAAACACCAGUCGAAUAAAUACCAAAAAUAUGGUCAUUUCACUCCGAUAAUUAAUUUUCUUUUUUCUUUAGUCGAGAUGAAUUUGCAAAUGAGAGAUUGCAGGCAAUAACAGAGGACCAAGGGCGUUUGUACCGGUGCAGGACUAUAAAAAAUUGCACAGCAUGUUGCCCGAAGAGCCUUAAUCCUGCUAAUGCCAUAAACAAGAUGAAGACUAUUCACUUAACUGAGAAGCCAAUCGAGGAUCUUGAAGCUGAGCCCGAGCCUCGUUUUGGGCAAGCCUAAUCUAGUGUGUUCAUAGAAAAUAUAUUGUAGCACGUACAAGUCUAUUAUAGCACGUAGCAAAUAUAAAGUGUGAGCGUAGUUUGUCUAUGCUCACACUUUAAGAUUGUUAUAGUUACAUUUUAAUUUAAAGUUAUAGAUAUUCUUCAAAGUUCAAAUUACAUUACUAUAUCAGCUAUCUGGCUCAUGGCCAUCUUCAGAUUUUCACAACAUAAUGUCUUUCAUUACUUAUUACUGAUUGAUUAAAUUGAAUUUCAUAAAGUAGAGAUGGAACAUCAGGUAAGUGAAAAUGUCACGCCCACGUCAAAUUAUAUGUGAUCUAUAUAAAUUUAUUAGUUACUUUUUGUAGUAUAUAUUUCAAGAAACUAAAAUAAAUAUUUAUUUUUAAUUUUUAAUUUAAAGUUAAAGCUUAACUACUUUAGAAGAUUGUUAAAGAUUAGGGUUUGUUUGAAUGAACUUUUAAAAAGUAGUAAUUUAUAAGUUAAAAGUUACAAGUAGAAGAUAUCCUACUUUUGACCUUUGAUUUAUUUUAUAUCUUUUUUUUACCUAAAAUCGAAGGAUUAAAGUAACUUUUUAACCUUUUCAAGUACCUCUAAAAUUUAAAAAAUAUUUAAAAAUUAAAAGCACCUAAACAUAAACAAAUCCAAAGCGGGAACUAAGUCGCCUCAAAAUUUACAUGAAGAAAUAUGUAAUAAAAAAUAUAUGUAAGAGAAUAAAUUUAUCUCUAUACCUGUGGGAAAAGUCACCCAAAAGGAUCUUGGCGCAAAAGUCCAAAACGGUGCCGUUUUGCUCAUCACCUUCUUCGCAGGAUUUCCAUAACCCUUGCAGUUGAUAUUCAGUAGAAAAGAAGAUAUUAGUAUAGAGAAUAGUGCAAUUUGUUACCCCAUAAGUUCCAAUUCUAAGAUACCCAUUUUUGUUUACUUCACAUAAUUUGUCAAGUUAUUUGCAAAAUGCAAGUAUACAGGUCUCUCUUAAAUUCAAUCAAGAACCGUUCUAUACAGACCCUUAAUACAUAUGAAAGGUAAUGUGCAUUUUUUAUAAUCUAUACUCAAUCACACACUGUUGAAAUUUUAUGGGUUUUGGUUUUCUUGAAUUUUUAUGGUUUCGAUUUUUAUGGGUAAUUUGUGUUUCUAUAACUUUUUUCUGUAUUAUGGAAAUUUUAUAGUUUGGUUUGGUUAUUCUUUUGUUUAAAUAUGGUUUUUGUAGUGUUUUGCCUCCAAAUAUUCUGUGUAGUCUGUUGGUUUGUUACUAAUCUACUUAGAUUUUGAGAAAAAAAUGUGAGAAGAUUCGUCCCUUUACGAACCUCAAACUGUUUGGUUGUUGGAAGGGGGAAGUAAGCAAGAAGAGAUGAAACUGUAGUGAUCUACUUCUCCUUAGUAAGAAGCAUUUCUAAUUUCUUUCCAGUUGCUAAUGAAGUUGGAGAAAACAAUAUUGGUAUAUUUUCUUAUAAAUGGACGGAUUGAAAUAGCAUUAUGAGAGAACAAAAUAUGUUAGUGAAAGCUCUAAUUAUGAUGUUAUUGAUGCUUGGUUGAAUAGUAGGAGAAACAAAUUUUGAUGAACACACUGGUUCUAGUGUUCUAUUGCAUUUAAUAUGGUUGAUGCGGAGUUAGUUAUAUCUUUUGCCUUAAACUUGAAUACUAGAAAUAAUAAUGUUGAGAGUACCUUUGCAUAGAUGAUACUUAAUAUAAAGCAAAAUUUGAAAUAUCUAGGUUAAAAUUCCAAUUGUAUGACUGUUAGAAAUGUGGAAGUGUGGGUGGCAUUAUCGUCAAAGUUGCUUUUAUGUCUGAUUUCAGCUAUAACAUGGCUUACUAAAGUUCCUUUUGAUAAACAUUGGUUAAGGGGUCUUGUAGAAUUAAAACUUGUCUAACCUAAUGUGUUACUUGUGGUGUUUUGGGUUCAUGAGUUUCAAUUGGUAGCAGGGGGAGGCUGUCUUGGAUAGAUAGAUUAAACAUGCUAUGUGGCUCAUGGAUUUCUCCAAGAGACAUGGAGGUCCCCUUAGAAGGAAACUUUGUGAAGUUUCAGUUUAUGCGUAACAACUCUUACUUUCACCCGUAACUAUGUACUUCUUAUAGUGGCCAACUGUCUCUUUCUAGUUUCUCCCUUAGGCAUUUUGUAAUUAUAAGGUUGUAAGAUCCAUCAUGAGCAAAAUUUGAUUUUGAGUAAGAGACUAGUAGUAACUUGCAACAACAACAUACCUAGUGGAAUCCCACUUGGGAGGAUGGUGAGUAAAUGACUAGUAGCAACUUCCAUCAGGAAAAUAAGGGAGAAACUUAUAAGUCUAAAAUGUAGCAAAUAAUUACUACUGCCUCACAUAGAGGCUAAGUUGGGGGAGCGUCAGUCUUUUGUUGCUAUAAGGGAAGGGGGAGAGGAUUGUUUCACGGCAAGUCAAAAAGAACUGUAAGUUUCCAAUCUUCAGAAGCUUGAUGUGGAGAAUUUCUUAAAUUUACUCUCCAUCAGAUUCAGCUUUGUAAGAUUUUUGACUCAUCUAAAGUUGCAGUUAUACCUGUCCAAAGUUUUAGUUAGUCGAGAGAGCAUCAGCUUCAUGUGACAGUAAAGUAUUGAAAUGUAGAUGAUACUUCCACUGUUGUGAGCUUGAUGUGUUAAAAGUAGGGGAGUGUAGAUGGAGCUUUUUUACUUCUAUUUUCUACAGAAAAUGCCCAUUUUGAAUGCAUAAAAUGUAUCUAUGAGGAGAGAUAUGCAUAAUGCAUUAUUACCUUGUGAGAGAUUAGUAUGGACUUAAGACGUAUUUCUUUUUUUCAUUUUGAAUUUACUUGCAAUUAUCCUGGCAAAAGAAUCCAAAAUUUGCAAGAAGAGAGGAACUCUCUAUAGACAUUCACUUCAAUUACAAUUGGAACAAGUCGUUUCAAGUUUUAUUCCUAAACAAGUUAUGAUGUAUUGGUGAUGCAAAUCAAGCCCUGUAAGUGCGCACUGAUGCUUUCAAUGAUACUGCCUUCUCCUUUCAAAAAGAAAUGGGGGGAAAAGAGAAAAGAAACGACUCAAAUACAUGUAGAACAGGAAGUAUAAAAGUAAACCAUUUCAGUUUCAAAUUAUGGAGUGCACUGCAAUUUUUCUGAUUACUUGUUUCAUGUGUAGGUUUAUCCCACCUAAGCGCUUCCAUUCAGCCAGCUGCAUGAGGUCUGCUAGAAAGACUUAUGAUCCGCCUUUAUUAACUGGACCAUCAACAUCAAAAUCUUGGAAACCUUAUAUAUUAGUAUUGCAUUUGAACUCCAUUUUCCUUUUGAUGUGUUUUGUGACUGUUGUUGCAUGUGCUCUGUGCGGUUGUCUAUGGCUCCGUUAUCUCAGUUGUCUUCAUCUUAUUUCUACUUUGCAGCCUGGAGCUGCUUUGGGAGGAUUCGGUGGACUGCUCCUUUUUCUUCGUUAUAUUGAUGAAAGGAGAGCAAUUCCAAAAGGUGGGGCUCUGGGUAUAUAUUUUAAGCAAAGCUUUAUGUGUCUUUCAAUACAAAUACACCUCAAUGCGGAUUAUGUGCUUUUGAAUGCUGCAAUUAAUACUUUAGAUGGAAACAAAAAAUGAAGAAACAAAUUAAGGAUGUAGGUGUGUAGUGAAUUAAGAAGUGGUACAUGGCUGAGUCCAUAUGCUGGAUCAUAGCUCCUUACUUAAAGUGGUUAUCAGCUUUUGUUUAAUAAUGGAGCACAAGAGAUAAAGCCUCUUUUGGUUGUUAAACUUCUAAUCUACUAAAAGUCCAGAACUAUAGACUAAAAUUAUUUUCUUCCCUGAGUCCUACUUAUCAUGCAGCCAAAUAGCCGCAUACUGGAUCAUUGAUAGACUUAUUAUGGCAGUCUCGGUAUCUUUCUAGUUUAUUGGACUAUUUUCUCUCUUUUUAUGUUUCCUUAUCAGAAAGUGUUGGUAUGUUUGUCCACUUGAAUCAUGCUCUUUUUGAAGUACCACGUGCAUUUACUUUCUGAUAGUUUUGUAGUGCCAUAAAUAUUAAUGAUUGGUACACAAUAUAAAGCUUUCAUGCCUUUCAGGUCAAGGCGAGAAAUUUGAAAGAAGUGCAAUUCAAGGGCCAAUCAUUGGCGGCCCAUUCAGCUUGAUUGAUACAGAAGGCCAUUUGGUUACCGAGCGCAACUUGCUGGGAAACUGGGUUCUUCUCUACUUUGGUUAUACUUCAUCUCCUGAUGUUGGUCCAGCAGAAGUACAAAAGAUGGCUAAAACUACUGAUAUUCUAGGUUCAACUCGGGUUCUUUGAAUGGAUAUUAUAUUUUCUUAUUUACUGGCUUAUGUUGCUGAUGUUGUUAUUUUAUUUUUGCUUUGUGGUCCUUUCUGCUUAAUGUAAACAAGGUUCAAAACAGGAUCAUCAUAAGAUUCUCCCAGUAUUUGUCACAAUUGAUCCUCAACGUGAUACGCCUUCGCAACUUCGAGCUUAUCUUAAAGGUCUGGAUCUAGCUUCUCUGAUCUCUUUCUCUCUCUAGGUUCUGGAAUGAAUGUCUUGGUUGAAAGAAUUGUGGAAAGAGAUCCCAACCGGGGGGUGGGCUUGAAGAGAAAAGGCUCAAUCCUAUAGUUGUCUCCUUUUAUUUGAUGUUUAUUUCCUACACUUAAGCUGUGCUGAUUUUAUUUGCAUGAAACACAGAGUUUGACCCAAGAAUAAUGGGAUUAACUGGACCAGUUGCUGCUGUUAGACAGAUGGCACAGGAAUACCGAGUUUACUUUAAGAAGGUUGAUGAAGAAGGAGAUGAUUAUCUGGUAGAAUCUUCUCACAACAUGUAAGCCUCAAGUCCUAUAUAUUGUCAAAUAAGAAGCCCUCUCUUUACAACUAUGGAAGAAUAAACUCUCAGUUUCUUUUACCUGCGCUAGAGCAAUUUGACAGAGUCAGAUGUAUAUUGAUGUAAUAGGUAUUUGGUGAAUCCAAAUAUGCAAGUAGUUAGAUGCUUUGGUGUGGAAUACAGUGGGGAGGAACUGGCCGAUGCAAUAGUUAAGGAGCUAAAGAAAGCUGAGACAUAGCAAUACUCGAAGUGGAUUUGGCGAAGUAAGUACAUCAUACUUAGGUUAGGUUCUUAUAUUACCCUUACAUAUCUUCAUCAUCAUGUUUUAUUCAAUGGUUUCUAAGGGUCAUAGUUCAUUUUUUUGUUCUAAAUGUACAACUUCAUUACAGAAAAUAAAUAUACGUGCUAGUAACCUUGUUUGUCUACCAUUUUCAUGUACAGAUCUUCUCCAAUUCUUUGUUAAAUGUUGUAUUAUCAUCCUCUUGGCCAAUCCAUGGCUAUCUGCAGCAGGUACCCAGGGGAAUAGUCGAGGUGCGUGCAAGUUGGCACAGACCCCACCGUCGUAUAAAAAUGAAAAGGAUUUCACUUAUCUGCAUAAGACCCUAAAAACAUUAUAUUAUGAAAUAUGAAGACAGUGAAAUAGGGACAGAAAUCCUGCUAAAUUUUUGUCAAUAAUGAAAACACACUAAAUGGAAAAUAACGUAGAUUCUAUCAAAAGUUGUUUCUGCCAAGAAAAACACGUAACACCAAUAAAUUCAUGAGAGAUUAUUUCUAAAAGGGCUCCAGUAAGUCACGUAUGGUUAUAGAACUACUACUACUAUAAAACCCAUAUGAGAGACAUAGGAAUGGGCUUUUUUUAAAAUUCUUUUCUGUCCAAAUAAUGAUGAUGUCAGCUUCUUUAUUGUCUUGUUUAAAUCCCAAGUCUAAUAUUACAUUUUACUCUAAAAUAGUUUGGGAAAAAGGUUGAUCCAUGUGUUUUACUUCUAUUUUAUAUUUGUAGCAAAAAUCACAUGAAAAAUGUCACCCAAAUGUUUUAUUGUUCCCAGAUAUGUUGGCUGCGGAAAAUCUGUCAUUUCUUAAUCAAAUUGCUAUAGCAGAUAGCUUUUAGUAUGUAGAACAUGUUUUUCUUUCAUCUUCCUGCCAUAUAUAGUGGAAAGGACAGUCCGCCUCAAACCUUGACGUUGGGGGGUCCCAGUCACCAAGGGAGCAAGUGGGGAAAGAAGUCAAGAAUAACUCCUGACUUCUAAGUUGAGUGGGGUCUGGCCUUGGGGUUUAGCGUAUCAAAUGGAAAGAAUAGAAAAAGAGUUGGCUGCAGAAUGAAUGUCAGCUACAGAUUGAUUAAGAGUUUGAUGCAGAGUAACUUAAUAAAAGAAGUACUAAAGUAUUAGAAAGGAGCCAUCCUUAGUUCUUUUGCUAUCAUAGAACAUUGUAUGUACUUUUUUAUUCUCUUUUGUUUGCUCCAUCCUAAACUUUUAUCACCUUGUAUCAGCAUCUUGAGAGAUUUUGAAUAACUAGUCAGAUUUUGGGGGCCAUGGGUUUAGAACAUGUUAUGCAAGGAUUAGUAGUGUAGGGAUUAUAACACGUAGAUUAUUUCUUGUAUGAUGUUUAGUUGAUAUAUUACAAAUUAGUAGUGUAUAAUUGAUAUAUGUGCUAUCUUCUUAAACAAAUAUAAGUUUUUUUGCUAUUUUAUAUGAGGGUUAGUUUUGUCUUGUUUUAAUCCAGGUGUUACUACUAAUACCUGCAUUCUUAUUUCACGUUCUGUCCUACAUAUUAAUACAUAGAUUCCCGCACCACUUAUGCAAGUAUCAGUUAUGAGGAAAAGAAAACAAGUAAUGAAACAUUGUAUUUAUUAUGUGGGGUUUUAUGUGGAGAUUGUUUUUUUUAAUGAAUCCAACUAAACGACCCCUUAGUGUAUGAGCAGUAUCAGGUACAGUACCCUAGUGUGUAAAAAUAGCUUGCGACUUAUAGCCGGAGAACAUUACUAGGUUGAUUUGUGCUGAGCUUAUAAGCUGAUACUCUGCUUAACUAUUAUGUCAAGUACAGUACACAUGCAUGAAGUGUGUUGUAAACCAUUAGUUCUGUCUUAAGAAUUAUUGGGAUGGGUAAAAUUCCUACCUUCAGUACCUGGGAACUUCUGCUACAAGAUAUCUGCUACUUUUUAGCUAGUACAAGUAGCGGGUACUCUUUCUACCAAGGUUUAGAAGAUGAGAAAGAAAUUACUUGGUUUUUUUACCUAGAAUUUUAACUUUGGUUUCUCAUGUUCUAUCCCCGUUUUAUUGAAUGCGAGGCGGAUCUAUUAGAUGAAUCCUGUAAUUCAUUUCGCUCUAUUUGGAGUUGCUAUGUUCAAAUACUCAAUAAGUGAGUGUUUAAGGUUGCAUUCUCACAAUUGACAUUUUCAUGCCCCUUAAUAGGUUCUCAUGCUUGUAUGAAACCUUUCUUACAUCUGACAUUUACAUGUCCCCUAAUAGGUGGAGCCAGACGUUCAAUUUUUGCCUGUUGUCGUGGCCAUUUAAGGACCUUUGUAGCAGCUGAGUUCGAUUAGAUGGGCUAGUCAUCUCUCAACAAUUUACUAGUUCAGAAAAAGUUUUGAAGAGAAAUUUCUCUGAUGCUUAGAUGGUCAGAGGCUUGGAAAAAAAGAGAGAAGAAAACUAGCAAUAUCUUCAGUUUUUAGCAAAUUGGUUCUGAUACUUUUUGCCACCUUUUUUCUUGUCUGGGCUUAAUGAAUUUGGACCUGGUCGGUGGGUAAUACAAAGUAGGUGACUGUUUGGUUGCCUAGCAAAAGUUUCAUUCUAUAAUUAAUUGGAUAUAAGACUCAGUCAAGUUUGAAAACAUUAACUGAAGAAGGGUAACUUCUUGAAUUUCAACCUCAUUGUUGACUAUAUAGCUACUUACUUUUCUCUUAGGAGAAGUGAAACCAAGAAAAUGUAAUUUAGGCAUUGUUAAAAAACAUGCAGACGAGUUCAAAAAAGAGACUAAGGAGUUGAAUUUUGAGUUUCUAAAUUGAUGUGCUCAAUCCAAAGUUGAUAAUUCUAUAUUUGACUUUUAAAAAAAAAAAACUAUUUUUCAAAUACAUGAAGUUGUGAACUUGUGAUUUAUAAAAAAUUUAAUGUAGUAUGUAGUUUUUUAGUAUAUUAAUUUUCUAUCUAUAUAUAAAUAAAUUAGAAACUAGUGCUGAAACUUUACAUUAUAAAUUAUAUUGAUCAAUUCUCAAAGAGUGCAUGCAUGGUUAUUGGUACUUCAAGGCUUAAAAGUCCACUUACAGACAUUUACAUUAAGGAAGACACAAAGAAGUUCGUGGAUGGGAAACGGUGACAAUAUUACUAUUUUCUUUUUGGUUUAAUAAUUCAACAAUUCAUUAAACUUAUCAGUGAAAUGGAUUUAGACAUUCAAAUUAUGAUUUAUUAAAUUAAGCUUUUGAACACAUGAUAAAGUGUGUUUAUUAAACAUUUUUGUGUGUUCUCAAGUUUCUAUAAAGUAACUAUUAACCACAUAAUAUACAUUGCCUCUAUUAGUUAUAUACAUCAAUUGAGAUAAACUCAAGAUUUUACGUUUUAUUGAUGUUAAUCAUGCUUAAUUGAAGGAGAUCACUAUGUUAAAUGAUUAACCUAUCUAUAUAAUAAGCCUUUGAGAACACAUACUGAAACUUUUAUAUAAGUUCAAAUCAGAAAGUCUAAUAGAAACAUUUUAUCAUAUGAUUAGAUGCUCAAUCAGAAAAAGAUUUUACUGACAAGUUCAAGAAUGAUGUAAUAAACCUUUUUUUUUCCUUACUUAGACAAUGUAAGACUAGGGUUGCAUAUUGGUUGGUUCGUUCAGUUUUGAAGUUUAUCGAUUCGACUUAUUUGUAUCGGUUUGUAGACAUGCUAAAUCAUUAUAGAAUCAUUACAUGCUAAACCAUUAUAGAAGUAGACCAUUAAGAUAUUAGUUUAUCGAUUAUUGAUCGUUACCGAUUCGAUUAUUGAUUUAACCGUUAAGAUUUAACACACAAAAAAAUCAUUGAAGAUUACUUAGAAACAAGGUGACAAACCAAAUGAAUCAUGCACAUGGGCUGACAUAUUACAUAAACAUCAACAUAUUAUAGAAUAAUCGAGAGCUUGAGAUAGUCAAAUUUGAAAGAAUGAAACUAAACUUAAGUCAAGGACUUUGUAUACCAAAUGUAUAAAUACAAUUUAUUAAUUUACUAUCGAAUUAUCAGUUAAUCCUUUAAAAAAAUCUCAGAUCGUCAAAAAUCGACAAUCUAAUAUAAAAAGUCAAAAUCAUUAUCAACGAUAAAUCAACAUAUAUUUUUCAAUUUUAAUUUCGACUUCAGUUCGAUUUUAAACCGCUCUACUAAAACAAUGGAAAAAUAAAGCAAGAGUAGGUAUGUGGACCAUCUCCAAAACCCUUAGAAUUAGAAAACAGCUGGCAGCCAUACGUGAGCUGCUCAAAGUCUCCUACGUGAACUCCUCUCCUUAAUUUGACUUUGUUCAAAAAAGAUUUAAAAAAAAUAGUAGAAAAAAAAAGAAGAGAAAAUAAAAAAUAAUGAAAUAAAAGAUUCUGCCAACACUAAAUAGUUUUAUUCCUCUAAAUAUCUUGAGAUGCUCCUUUGUUCCAUGACCGAGUCUUUUGGUCUCCCUUAUUACACCACAAACACCAAACCAACACCAAAAAAAAAAAAAAAAAAAAAAAAUUAAUUAAUUUUAACCAAAUAGAAAAGCAGAAAAAAGUAAAAGAAAAGGAGUUGAAAAAAAUCCCUUUUGCAUACAUUCAUCAUUACUAGUAUUAUUUUUGUGUCAUUUACCCCCAUUUCUUCUUAUUUCUUCCCUCUCUGAUCAAUUUUCACAUUCCAUUUCUCUUCUUGAUGCAAUCAUUUCAUUGCCAACAGAAAGAGAGAGAAACAAACACUAAAAAAAGAAACAAGAAAAAGAUAUUCUAAAGAUACAUAGAAUAUGACAAUUAUGUACUCUUCUCCUUGGGGCAGUUACCAUUUUUCACACAACCAAUUUCAUUAAAUGUAACAUCUUGUUUUUGUACAUUAUGGGUCCUUAAUUUUCUUGGUGAGUUAUCUAUUUUUUUAACUUGGCCUACAAGUCUUAUUUCUUACAUAAGAAGCUCCUUUGAUAAGUACUAAAUUUCAUGUGGUGCCACAUUUGUUGAUCAUCAGAAGAAUUUCAUAUCUCAACUAUCCAUUUAAUUAAUAAUGGGAGACGCUUCUGAUGAAAGGAAAACGGGUUGUGGCCUGUUGAACGCGGUUUUUGGAAGGAAAAAUAUGUGGACAAAAAGAUCAACAUCAACAGGUUCGCUUCCAAUGCCAAAUUCCAAUAAUGUUAACAAUUUAACUCGAUCUUCUAGUACUCAAAAUUCUAAAAAGCAUCGUAAUGGAUCCAACGAGGCUUUUUUAGACAAUCGUGACAACGAGAAACAAGCUGAUAGGAUCAUACCAAGACCUAAUCAAAAUCAAUCCAAGGUAGCUGCGAAUAAGGGUAAUUUGCAAGGUGCUGCACCUGUUUAUAAUCAGCAGAAAAAUAAUGGUCAAGGGGUACAACAAGGGUAUAAUAAUCAAGGAAGAAAAGUAGCUCCGCCAUCAAUGGGGCUAUCAGGGGAGCUUGAAAACAUGAUACAAGAUCAUCAAAGAUCAAAGGGAGCUAAUACAUUAGUCCGUGCAUCGUCUAGCAACGUGAUGUUGUUUGGUAAUUUGGGUAACAUAAGGCAGCAAGGUGGGGGCAAUGGUACUGGUGCUACAACAACUUCAACAGCUAAUCAUGUUCUUGAUUAUUUACCAAGAACGGCUAAAGAAGAACCACCACAACAACCAUCUCAGAAUGGGAAAUAUCCUACGAGUGUUAUGGGUAAUGUGGUAAAGAAAAAGGGUGAUCAAGAGCAGGGGAAAACAGGGGGCUCUGUUUCCCUUUGUCGCGCUUUAUCCACAAGAAUGGACCCUGAGCAAUUGAAGAUUCUUGGAAAUGAGGAUUACAAGAAUGGAAGAUUUGCUGAGGCUUUAGCUUUGUAUGAUGCUGCAAUUUCAAUUGAUCCUAAUAAGGCUUCUUAUAGAAGCAACAAAUCCGCUGCUUUGACUGCUUUAGGAAGGCUUCUUCAAGCUGUUUUUGAGUGCAGAGAAGCUAUAUCAAUUGAUCCUCAUUAUCAAAGAGCUCAUAAUCGUUUGGCCACCCUAUGUGUCAGGUAAAUGUAAAAAAAUAAUACUAUUCAUUUCGUCAUGAAUUACUAUUACAAUUGUUGAAAUGACUAUUGUUUUCGUAUUUAGAUUAGGAGACACAGAGAAAGCUAUGUACCAUUACAAACAAGCCGCAUCAGAAGCUGAUCCUGAUGUUGUGACAAAGUCUAAAACUAUCCAAAUUCAUCUCAACAAGUGUACUGAGGCGAAGAGGCAAAGAGAUUGGAACACUCUUCUUAAAGAAUCUGCCCUCGCCAUAUCGGCUGGUGCAGAUUCUGCAUCACAGGUUAACUAUCUUACUCAUUAAACCAUAAGAAUUUGUUCUUUUCUUUAGUGUCAUGAGCUAAAUAUUUUUUGUUGUCUAUCGAUAAAAAAAAAGAAGAUAUUUGCUUUGAAAGCGGAGGCGUUGGUGAAGCUCCAUAGAUACCAUGAAGCAGAUCAAACUCUGAAGAAUGGUCCGAAUUUUGAUAUCGAUGAAUGUAUAAAGUUCUUUGGCCCUAUUGGCAAUGCAGGCUUGUUAGUCAUUCAAGCUCAAGUUGACAUGGCUGCUGGCAGGUUAGUUAGUUCUCAGAUUUCAAACUAUUCAACAUUUCACACCUCCACCCUUUAAUAAAAAAUUGUAUUCAAUCUAGGUCGCAGUUGUGGUCCUAAAGAUGCCAAUAACCAAUAUUAGGACAGAAAGUAAAGACUUAAUUAGUAUUGGAUUAUUGUCUAACAAAUAAAAUGUUUGGUUUAGCUAACAACUCAAAAGGAGAAUUAUGUGUAGGAGAAAAGAGAAACCAAAAAGAAGAGUACUUGAGUAUGUAUUUGGUAGUUGUAGGUUCAAUUUGACAUAUGUAAAUCACCCUCAAUCAAUAUUCAUGCUUGCCAACACGAGUAGUUUAAAAACCUAAGUAUUGAUUUACAAGGUUUUCAAGACAUUGCUUAUUUAAUAUUCCUUCUAUGGACAAUAAAUUACAAAAUAAUGCGUCUCAAUCAGUCAUAUCGUCUUACAUAAAAUACAAAAUAACAGACUCAAUCAAUAAAGUAUGUCUCAAUUUCAAACUAAUUGAACUCGGUCAUACGAAUGCUCUAAAUAUGUAUAUGCCAUAUUCCAAUCAACUAAACAUGACAUUAUAUUUCCAUCGUUACUAUCAACUUAUUAUGAUUGUUAUAUGAUAGGAUUGACGAUGCCCUAGCAGCAGCUCAACGAGCAUCCCAACUAGAUGGGAACAACAAGGAAGUGAACAUGAUAGUUAGGAGAACAAAGGCAGUAGCAAGUGCUAGAACAAAGGGAAAUGAGUUGUUUAAAGGUGGAAAAUAUGGAGAUGCUAGUGUUGCUUAUGGUGUAGGACUAGAGCAUGAUCCACACAACUCAGUUUUAUUGUGCAACAGAGCAGCUUGCAGGUCAAAACUUGGCCAAUUUGAGAAAUCACUUGAGGAUUGCAAUACUGCCCUUAAUGUUAGACCAUCUUUCACCAAAGCUAGGUUGAGGAAGGCUGAUUGUUACUUUAAGGUAACUUUUCAUUUUCCUUAUGCUUUGAUACGAAUAUGGUGUAUUGAUAAUGUUAAUAUUAGUAAUGCUGAUAUCAGUUAUGCUUACAUUAGUUAUGUUUCAGAUUAUUUCUUUUGCAGUGUUUUAUUUAGUGUAUUAAAAAUAACAUUUAUUUGAUUUUUUUUUCUUUGAUUGAUAUAAUUGAAGAUUUUGUGUGUGAUAUACUAGAUGGGAAAAUGGGAAGCAUGCAUACAAGAAUGUGAAGUGUUGAUAAAGGAGACACCAGAAAAUGAGGAUGUGGGACAAAUGAUUAAGGAUGCUCAACAACAACUCAAAAAAUGAGGAAUUUUUCAAAGACAUGAAGAGCAUGAACACCACCAAUGACAUUUAUGGUUGUCAUUAAUUUGUCAAUCUCCAUAACAAAUUAAUUUGAAUUGUAUCAUCACUUGUUUGUUCAAUUCCAAUCCCUCCAUAAAAGGAAACAAAAGGGUCAAAUAUAGAAAAAAGUGGUAGGGAAGGGGUUAAGAGAAGGAUUUAUAAAGGUCUUUUAGGGAACAAAGAAAAGAGAUAAUGGGAGAAAGAUCAAAAGAUUAAGAGGCAUGAGUUAGAAAAUAGGAUUUGGUAGGCUAUAUUGGCUCAUCUCUUUAGGAAAAAAAAAAGAAAAAGAAUUAAAGAAAGGAAUUCAUUAGGGUGCUUUGGAAACAAAAAAUUAAAGCACUAUGAAUUUUUAGUGAAUGAGAACAAUUCUUUUACAUUUGUUGCAUUUUCUUAAUAUGUAAUUAGUUUGUUUAACAUGGUUUUCCUGACUUUUUCUCCAUUUUGCCUUGUUUUUUCUUCUCCCUCACUCACAAAAAUAAAAACUACUCUAUCAGUCUCAAAAUACUUACUAUGUUUUUCAUUUACACGCUUCUUAAGAAAAUACUACUCAGAAAGGGUGUUUGACUAUUUUAUCCUUAUUUAUAUCUUAAGAUAUAAUCUUUAUUUAUUAAAUAUUUAGUCUAUUUAUAUGCCAUAAUUGAGGUAUUAAUAGUGUUAAAACAAUUUCUACUAAGAAUGAAUGAGGAAAUAAUAAUUAAUCUGUCUUAAACUUGUAUAACGAUAAAUGUUUUGAAACAAUUUUUUAAUAAUGAUGACAAGUAUUUUAAGACGCGGAAGUAAAAGAUAUAUACUACUCCCUCCGUCCCAUUUUAUGUGGCAACAUUUCCUUAUUUGGUAAGUAUUUAAAGGUACAAUUCCUCUUUUAUCCUUGUUGGUCCCACUUAAUCUUGAAAAGAGUACUCCAAUACAUUUAUUAGAAGAGAGAAAAAUAAGUCUAUUUUUUUAAGGGCAAUUUGGUAAACAUUUCAAAGUCUUUAUCUAUUUCUUAAACUCCGUGCCCGGUCAAAUGUUGCCACAUAAAAUGGGACGGAGGGAGUACAUAUCUUGGCAUUUCACUCUGCAUUUCUUGCUUGAAAGUUUAUUAAAAGGAAAUGAAAUUCGUAACAAUCAUUACUCCAUAAAAUAUGGGGUCCUUUAAAAAUUGUAUUAAUUAAAGUGCAUCACAGCUAGGUUAAGGCUGUUUCUAGAUUUUGUAGAGUGACUAAUCUAUAAGUAUUUUUUCUCUAAACUUGGGUCCUUUAAUCAUCAACCAGAUGGCAUGAUCGAGAUGAAUAAUUAUUAAGUAGAAAAAUUAAUGAUAUAUAAUCUUUUGGUCCCUCCACCUAAUUUCGUAUCCAUUUACUAUAGUGUGUGUAGGUUGAAAAUGACUUUCUUUACUAGAGAAAAUUGAGUAAUUUUAUCAGUAUUUUCAAAACUGUUUUUGGGGUGAGUUUUGGGGUAGGGCGUAUUAAAAAUGCUUUGAGGUGCAAAUUGUAGGUGUAGAUUUAUUGGACAUAAGUUCUGAGCGUAAAAACGUAAGUCCUUGACGUAAAAAUGUACGCUUCGGAUGUUAAAUUUUUUUGGGAUAAGGGUCUGAAAAAUACUCCAACUUUGGUCGGAUUUGCUGUUGCGAUACUAAACUUUCAUGAGGACCUAUUACCUCCCUAGACUAUUUAAUACCGUAUUUUAAACAUAUAUAUUUGUCCACAUGGAUAUAAAAAAUAAUGCAAAAUUAUAAAUAGUAAUGUGUCCACGUGGACACAUAUAUACCUUUAAAAUACACUAUUAAAUAGUUCAGGGGGUAAAAAAUACGGUAUUAAAUAGUCUAGGGAGGUAAUAGGUCCUCAUGAAAGUUUAGUAUCGCAACAGCAAAUGGUGUAAUGGUAUCUAUAUUUUGUAUUUUCAUGUUUUUUCAGGUUGCAGUGAUUUUUUCUAAUAUGUAUAAAUAAAUUGUCAUAGAAAAUGACAUUGUUAUAAAUAAUUUUUUAGAUAAUCGUGUUUGAAAUUAAUAGGAUAGAGCUUUCAUAGCACUAUGUUUUUGAAACAACUUUAUUCAUUUUUUGUCAUUAUUUUUACACUUUUUAUCAUUCUUCUUUAAAAUAUAUAAACAAUAAUCAGUGGAAAUAUUAAUUAAGGGUUAAAAGACUAGUUAAUGUGAAGAUGGGUGAUGAUUUAAUUUUAAAUAUUAUUUUGGCAAUUAUUAUUAGUUGUAAUUAUAAUAUAUUUUUCUAUAUUAUUGGUUAUUAAUACCUUUUCUCAAAUGAUAAUUAUAAUAUUUUUUCUAUAUUAUUAGUUAUUUAUUAAAAUUUAUUUGUAAAAUCAUUGAAAGUUUUACUUUGCUUAUUCUCUUAGUAAUAAAAUUAUAAAAUUGAAUAUACAUGAGAUAUGUGCCCCGUGUCUCGAGGCUUAAGCCUCACCCCCAACUGUAUAAAACGCCUCGCCUCACGCCCCACCUUUUAAAACACUGGUAACUAUAUGCUAGCCUACCAUUAACUUAUUAAAAAAAAAUGUAUUAUGUAUAACAAUUAACAUGGCAUGAUCUUGAUAUACAUGAUAUGGUUCUCCGAAUGAAAGUGAAAAUAAAAUUGGUUGUAUCUCAACAUUUAUAUUCAUGGUAUACAUAAAUAUUGAUGUAGUUCAGUUGAUUGAAUAUGAUAAUUGCUAUUAGUUUCAGUUUAAAAUAUAUAUACACUACUAAAAAGAGUUAAAUAUUUUUUUUGGCAAAAAUCAACCUAAAAUUGGAGGUUUGGUAACUUAGAAAACUCUCAAGUGGAGACUCAAAAAAGUGUUUCACUGGUUUGUUCGAUCAGAAGUUGUUAAAUAUUUGAUAAACACAAAAAUGACCAAUUUUGAUAAUUUAAAGAAUUGAAAUUACUCAUAGUAUAUUUGACCAACUACUAUUUUAGAACAAUAAUAGUAUACUCAAUGAAUUUUCCCCUUUUUAAGUGGAUUGGAAAAUGAUCAAAUAUAAGCAAUUUUUUUUUUUAUUUCUACAUUUAUAAAAUAGAGGAUUGUUUCUUAUAUAUCCUCAAUUUAAAAGAAGGGAAUGAACUAUUUUUGAAGUAUAAAAAAUAAAGGACAUUUUUUGUCAUAUACUUUUAUAUAUAUGUUCGGAGGCAAACUUAAACCUCAGUAGCAUUAUAAACUUUAUCCUUUCUAGCCAUUAUACAUCGCCAGUUCUAAGUUAAACCACACGAAAUCUAGACUUAUUAGUGAUAAUUUUGCAGCAUGUUUUUGUUCAUAUAGCAUAAGCAAUAUGCAAUAACUUUUAUUUUUCCAAAGUGUAGUAUUCAUGAUAGUAGUGGUGGAAUCAUUUUCACUAAAAGAAACAAAGAUUAAACGAGAAAUUCAAUAUCUACUAUAUAUAAAAACUAAUUUUAAUCGUAUACAAACGAUUGUACAUUCUAUUAAAGUAAAUUCGGAUGGAUCCCCCUCGACUUUUGCUAUCUCCGCCCCUCAUGAAUCAUGAUAGUAUAUAUUGGACCUUAUUAUUCAUUAAAUAAAAUAUAAUGUCUUCUCUACUAAUACUAAAGCACUACUACAUCUCGAAAACAAUAAACAUCAUAGCAAUUAGCAACAUUGAACCCCCUUACCAAUUGUCUUUUCUGCCCCUUAUUAAAUUCACAGUUCAGUAAUAAAAUAUGGGCUCAGGCCCAAUCAAAGCCCAAUAAAUGAUCGAUAGAUCACAUCACAGCAACAUCGAAAACAGGUAAAUUCUCACCGGAAACAGGCAGAUCCUCACCGGAGAGAGGCAAAUUCUCACCGGACUUAGUCUUCUUACAUAGAUCUUUGAUGAAAGUGAGCUGAUAAGGUGAAUGAUCAGUCGCGAUCCACUGCUCCACUUUGAAAUUCUGUUGAUCGCAUUCUCUAUGGACUCCGGUGACGGUGACUUCGACGUAGU
RNAcentral lists this long non-coding RNA (18965 nucleotides) under Solanum tuberosum (potato). RNAcentral's name for it is "long non-coding RNA (STUB_LNC004918)". Lineage: Eukaryota; Viridiplantae; Streptophyta; Magnoliopsida; Solanales; Solanaceae. The record is from RNAcentral.